UACGUAGGUGGCAAGCGAUACUCGGAAUCACUAGGCGUAAAGCGCAGGUAGGCGGUUUGGUAAGUCUUUUGUGAAAGCUCCCGGCUUAACUGGGAGAGGUCAAGGGAAACUACCGGACUAGAGUGUGGUAGGGGAUACUGGAAUUCCUGGUGUAGCGGUGAAAUGCGUAGGUAUCAGGAGGAACACCGGUGGCGAAGGCGGCCUUCUGGACGGAUACUGACGCUGAGACGCGAAAGCGUGGGGAGCAAACAGG
This 253-nucleotide ribosomal RNA is filed under the name uncultured prokaryote. Its description in RNAcentral is "partial 16S ribosomal RNA". It matches the Rfam family "Bacterial small subunit ribosomal RNA", at positions 524 to 776 of the family's 1533-position model. The record is from RNAcentral.